This 210-nucleotide long non-coding RNA is filed under the name Prunus dulcis (almond). RNAcentral's name for it is "sRNA ncRNA". The record is from RNAcentral. Lineage: Eukaryota; Viridiplantae; Streptophyta; Magnoliopsida; Rosales; Rosaceae.
AUGUGCAAGUGUACAACACAGCAAACAAACAUAAAGUGUCACACUAACAAAAAACACCAUGAAACUUCUUGCAUGUCUCUAGAAGUAACAUCAAUCCUAAAAAAAAAUUACCUAACAAAAUUAAAAGCUAACAGUAACAGACUCCAGCUUGCAUUUCAUAAACGAAUAAUGUCUUCAAAAAGUGGACAAACUCUUGGGAAGAACAGUUAA